Long non-coding RNA from Bos taurus (domestic cattle), 2120 nucleotides. The record is from Ensembl. NCBI's taxonomy places the organism in Eukaryota, Metazoa, Chordata, Mammalia, Artiodactyla, Bovidae.
CCAGGAGACUUGCGGGCACACCCCAGCCCCUAGGAAGACAUGUAGGGCGGGGAGCUCAGUACCAUAUAUCAGCACGGGGGAGGAGGCUAAACUGGACUCGUGGGUCCGGAGCAUCUGACGUGGAACUGAAAAAUAAAGAAUGGGAUGCCAGGGCGGGAAGGUGAAGGGCAUAUAAUCCCAGCCUUGUUUUAAGCAGGAGUUCUCUGCCACUCAGGGCAUCUACGGUUACCCAGCGACCUACCCCAGCUGGGACCCAGGCUUGCUCACCUCCUCAGCCCAGCUCACUCUCGGUUUGGGGGGUCGUUUGGUCCUUCGGGACUCAAAGGGGGCUCUGUUCUUAGUGAUGCCUUUCCGUGACUUUGACGGAUGCCAUCAGCUGAAAGAGGGCUCGGGGGGGGCAAAAGCCACACAAGAAUGAUGCCACAGGCAGCCCCUGGGGACCCAGACCAGCCUUGGUGCCUGGCCAAGGGACCGCCGGCAGCAUCUUUCCGGGGGCUCCCCCUCUCUCCCUCAUCAGCUGGCCCAUCCCUCAGUUUCCUCAUCCAGAGAAGGGAUGCGUGAUCCCAGGAGGAGGCCUCCGAUGAUGUCAAGUGGGUGGAGGAAAUUACGAAACAAGGUACUUUGAGCCUCCCAGCGGGAAAUUGGGGUAAAUUCCUGAUAUCCGGUACUGCGUGCUUUUCUUGGAGGAGCAGGCUGGAUGUGACGGCUGCAGACACCUGCUGGCUUUCAGGAGAUUCCUCUCUGCUCCACCACAGAGAUCUUCUUUCCUGCUGACUGGGAUGGAGAUGUAAGGGCCGGUGCUGAAGUGGCCACCGUGAGCAAGGUGGCUCUGGACAAAGAGGACCUAUGUGGUAGGUUAAUCAACCUCAUCCUGAGGUCAUUAUGAAGGAGCAGACCAGCCCUGACCUGCCUGACUCCAAACAGGACACUCAGAUAGAACAGAAGCUAGCCUCCAUUUCAAGCCUCGCUGUUUCCCCAUCACACGUUCUGGUUAUCGCCGGACAAGUUCCUCACUUGUAAGACCAGCAAAGACAGUUACUCAACCCAAGAUGCUUAAGGAAGCCCCCCAGGAUCAACGUGGUCACCCCAUCCUGCUGCCCUGAGGGUCGUCCAGUUCGGCAGACACUGGCCCAGUGCCUCCUGCUCCUGGCACUGGGAAUGCCAAGAGGCUUCAAGGUGACCACUGCCCUCGCAGCCAUCCUUGGUCAGAGGGUGUCCAGCCACGUCCGACAGCAGGCUCAGCCCGACGAUGGGCGUGGUGUGCAGGACGGUCCACGGGCCUCCACCCGGGAACUCCGUGGUAAAGAUGUGACUCAGGAAACAGGAGUGAGCGGCCACGCUCAGGCCACCUCCGAUGCCUUCUUCUCCGUGGAUCAUUGAAUUACAUGCAUAUUUCAGUGAAGAUGAUUAUCUCCUUGCUGGUUUCGGAAGAUGUAUUUAGGGGAGGUAUUUCAAUUCUGUUGUCAUUUAAAACUAAAAAUCAAAACAUCAUUUUUGAUGUCCAGGGUUCUUUCUUCCGCCGAAAUACACACUGUGGUGUGUUACAAUCAUGUCUCCACCAUUUGCGCCUUAGAUGUACUUGUAGAGAGGAGCAAAGGGGCUCUAAAUCACUUGCACAUUUCAUGUUGACAGCGUCCCACGCUAGCACGACGGAUGGGAAGGGAGGCUCCAGCUUGGCUUUUAAUACUGGUGACCCAGGCUCACCCACUCACAGGCGCUCCCCACCUGAUCUCAGUGGCAGCUGCUCUUCCGCCCUCUACUCCGUGGACUCGGUGUGCUUAAAAGUUGUACAGGGUGAAUGGGAGUCUUUGGCUUUUCCAAGUGAGCCUCCCCGCCUAGGCAGGACGAGCUGCCUUCCAAUUCCUUGGGCAGGUGAUGACAACCAGAGCUAACUGACACUUACUGAGCACAUACUGUGCACCAGGUCCUUGUCUAAAUGCUCUCUGUUCCCUGAUGGGUUUGACUGUCCUAAUAACCCCAAUCCAGGUUGCUGGGAUUAAAUCCCAGUUCUGCUGAGCUGUGUGACUCUGGGCAAAUACUAAACCUCUCUGUGCCUCAGAAGGAUCCAUGGAGAAAGUAGCAGGGCCAGAAGGGAUUACAUCUGCAGUGCUCUUAAGAGG